AUUGAACGCUGGCGGCAGGCUUAACACAUGCAAGUCGAGCGGAGAGAGGUAGCUUGCUACCGAUCUUAGCGGCGGACGGGUGAGUAAUGCUUAGGAAUCUGCCUAUUAGUGGGUGACAACAUUUCGAAAGGAAUGCUAAUACCGCAUACGUCCUACGGGAGAAAGCAGGGGAUCUUCGGACCUUGCGCUAAUAGAUGAGCCUAAGUCGGAUUAGCUAGUUGGUGGGGUAAAGGCCUACCAAGGCGACGAUCUGUAGCGGGUCUGAGAGGAUGGUCCGCCACACUGGGACUGAGACACGGCCCAGACUCCUACGGGAGGCAGCAGUGGGGAAUAUUGGACAAUGGGCGCAAGCCCGAUCCAGCCAUGCCGCGUGUGUGAAGAAGGCCUUAUGGUUGUAAAGCACUUUAAGCGAGGAGGAGGCUACUUUAGUUAAUACCUAGAGAUAGUGGACGUUACUCGCAGAAUAAGCACCGGCUAACUCUGUGCCAGCCGCCGCGGUAA
Molecule: ribosomal RNA, 501 nt
Filed under: uncultured bacterium
Lineage: Bacteria
Description: partial 16S ribosomal RNA
Rfam family: Bacterial small subunit ribosomal RNA
Source: RNAcentral